GGGGCGCUGGUGGCCAGGGUGUCGUCGACGCGGACGCCGUGGUCGACGUCGAUUCCGGCGGCGGCGGCCAGUUCGGUGUCGGCGCGCACCCC
This 92-nucleotide transfer RNA is filed under the name Streptomonospora litoralis. RNAcentral describes it as "Streptomonospora sp. M2 tRNA-Val". Lineage: Bacteria; Bacillati; Actinomycetota; Actinomycetes; Streptosporangiales; Nocardiopsidaceae. The record is from RNAcentral.